This 368-nucleotide ribosomal RNA is filed under the name uncultured bacterium. RNAcentral's name for it is "partial 16S ribosomal RNA". It matches the Rfam family "Bacterial small subunit ribosomal RNA", at positions 338 to 698 of the family's 1533-position model. The record is from RNAcentral.
CCUACGGGUGGCAGCAGUGGGGAAUAUUGCGCAAUGGGCGAAAGCCUGACGCAGCGACGCCGCGUGAGGGAUGACGGUCUUCGGAUCGUAAACCUCUGUUCGCAGGGAAGAACGGUCACUGUGCUAAUCAGCAGUGAAUUGACGGUACCUGCAAAGGAAGCACCGGCUAACUCCGUGCCAGCAGCCGCGGUAAUAAGGAGGGUGCGAGCGUUAAUCGGAAUUACUUGGCUUAAAGCGCGCGUAGGCGGUAUGACAAGUCAAGGGUGAAAUCCCAGCGCUCAACGUGGUAACUGCCUUUGAAACUGGCAAACUGGAGUGUGUGAGAGGAAAGUGGAAUUCAAGGUGUAGGAGGGAAAUCCGUAGAUAUC